Long non-coding RNA from Symphalangus syndactylus (siamang), 1211 nucleotides. RefSeq lists it as uncharacterized. NCBI's taxonomy places the organism in Eukaryota, Metazoa, Chordata, Mammalia, Primates, Hylobatidae. The record is from RefSeq and is a predicted model, not a curated record.
UCAAUUUCUGUGAAGGACAGAAACAGAAAGUCAGAGAGAGUAAAAGCCAUGCAGUUUACUACUUGCCCAAGGAGACUAAAUCGAGAACCAUAUAUAAAUAAGUAACCUAAAAUUAGCAAGUGGCUAUUUUUAGGUCACAGGGAAGAACUGUUACUGAACAUAUUAAUUACAGAGAUAAACACACUGAAGCCAGAAGAUUACAUGACUCGUCCAAAUUCACACCGAACAUUCUGGCCACUGGACUGAGUGCAAGCAUUAAUGGGAGGCAAAAAAAAGCAAACACAGUAGGGUCAUUUCGAGGCAAUCGCUAUAAUCCAGUCAAAGAUUAUGCUAGCUCCAGCCAGCCUCUGUACUCUUCCUGUGGCGAUUUAAAUCAUAACUCCAUGCUGGAUCACAGAGUGGGGGCGCUCAGUCUUGUAAAUGCCAUCAUAAUCAAUCCCUGUGCUCAGAAAUGGAAACAUGAACUCAUCCGGACCAGGAGGUGCAUGAAGAUUAUGGGAAAGAAGAUUCUGUUGAUGUUUUGGUUUUUCUUCCUUGCAUCUUUGAAACGAUUUAUUGUUCACUUUUGCACACACUUGUCGUGAGGACAGGGCAAGUCCAGCCUGGGGCCUACUCCCUGCUGCAGCAUUUUUAAGCCCCCAGAGUGGACCGAGGGGAGGACAUGGGCAUGUCUUUCCAUCUGUUGAUGUUUGGAGAGAGCUUCAGGAACUGAUGUUUUUUCCUUUUCAUUGUAUGUAGACUAGAAAGCAAAUACCUAAUGCCUUUUGGGGAGCACUUUGAUAACUUUGCAGGGGAAACUAUCUGAAAACAAGAAACCAAGUGUGACUUAAUAGAAACAAACCAGGUAUUCUGAUUUUAUUAACACACUGAAAUAAACUAGUCCUGAAACCUAUACUUUGACUUUUGUUAGUAAGUCAUAUCCCUCUAUUGGUUAGCAAACUUAAGCUGGAUUUUCUUUUACUUGCAACUUAAAUUAGCACAAUUACUAUAUUGAUAAAUCCUGACCUAUGUGAUGUGUGUAGAACAUAUUCAAAAUUAAGGAAGCCCAUUCUUAUGACAGGGACAAGGUCAAAGUGACCCAACCUAUAACCAAAAGAAAUUGAUCUUCCUUAACUCCAGUGUGCAGAGUACAUCAGAAAUGUGUUAUCACAAUAGUCUUCAAUAUCUAAUGCAAAAUACCUUAGUACAAAUACAUUUUUAUUCAGAUGUUA